RNAcentral lists this unclassified non-coding RNA (353 nucleotides) under uncultured Bordetella sp. Its description in RNAcentral is "partial 16S-23S ribosomal RNA intergenic spacer". It matches the Rfam family "Bacterial small subunit ribosomal RNA", at positions 10 to 369 of the family's 1533-position model. The record is from RNAcentral. Lineage: Bacteria; Pseudomonadati; Pseudomonadota; Betaproteobacteria; Burkholderiales; Alcaligenaceae.
AGUUUGAUCAUGGCUCAGAUUGAACGCUGGCGGGAUGCUUUACACAUGCAAGUCGAACGGCAGCACGGACUUCGGUCUGGUGGCGAGUGGCGAACAGGGCGAGUAAUGUAUCGGAACGUGCCUAGUAGCCGGGGGAUAACUACGCGAAAGCGUAGCUAAUACCGCAUACGCCCUUCGGGGAAAGCGGGGACCUUCGGGCCUCGCACUAUUAGAGCGGCCGAUAUCGGAUUAGCUAGUUGGUGGGGUAACGGCUCACCAAGGCGACGAUCCGUAGCUGGUUUGAGAGGACGACCAGCCACACUGGGACUGAGACGGCAGACUCCUACGGGAGGCAGCAGUGGGGAAUUUUGGAC